RNAcentral lists this ribosomal RNA (497 nucleotides) under uncultured bacterium. Its description in RNAcentral is "partial 16S ribosomal RNA". It matches the Rfam family "Bacterial small subunit ribosomal RNA", at positions 28 to 507 of the family's 1533-position model. The record is from RNAcentral.
GAUGGACGCUGGCGGCGUGCCUAAUACAUGCAAGUCGAGCGAACGGACGAGAAGCUUGCUUCUCUGAUGUUAGCGGCGGACGGGUGAGUAACACGUGGAUAACCUACCUAUAAGACUGGGAUAACUUCGGGAAACCGGAGCUAAUACCGGAUGAUAUUUUGAACCGCAUGGUUCAAAAGUGAAAGACGGUCUUGCUGUCACUUAUAGAUGGAUCCGCGCUGCAUUAGCUAGUUGGUAAGGUAACGGCUUACCAAGGCAACGAUGCAUAGCCGACCUGAGAGGGUGAUCGGCCACACUGGAACUGAGACACGGUCCAGACUCCUACGGGAGGCAGCAGUAGGGAAUCUUCCGCAAUGGGCGAAAGCCUGACGGAGCAACGCCGCGUGAGUGAUGAAGGUCUUCGGAUCGUAAAACUCUGUUAUUAGGGAAGAACAUAUGUGUAAGUAACUGUGCACAUCUUGACGGUACCUAAUCAAAAAGCCACGGCUAACUACGUG